This 83-nucleotide non-coding RNA is filed under the name Citrobacter freundii. The record is from RNAcentral. Lineage: Bacteria; Pseudomonadati; Pseudomonadota; Gammaproteobacteria; Enterobacterales; Enterobacteriaceae.
CGCCUCAUGCCUGAAAGGGCAACGUCGUAAGACGGAGCGAGAAGUCAGCAGAGGCCGUAGUAGUCAGGACUCCGACGAAGGGC